Molecule: ribosomal RNA, 271 nt
Filed under: uncultured archaeon
Lineage: Archaea
Description: partial 16S ribosomal RNA
Rfam family: Archaeal small subunit ribosomal RNA
Source: RNAcentral
CAGCGCCACAAGUGGGGAUCGCUUUUAUUGGGCCUAAAGCGUCCGUAGCCGGUCUAUCGAAUCUCUUGUGAAAUCGUUCGGCUCAACCGAACGGCGUGCAGGAGACACUCCUAGACUAGGGACCGGGAGGGGUCAGAGGUAUUCUGGGGGGAGCGGUAAAAUGCUAUAAUCCCCGGAGGACCACCGGUGGCGAAGGCGUCUGACCAGAACGGAUCCGACGGUGAGGGACGAAAGCUAGAGGAGCAAACCGGAUUAGAUACCCGAGUAGUCC